UCUAAUUUAGCAUAUAUUUAAUGCAUAGGAUUGUAAAUCCUUUUAAAACUUUUGUUAAUUAGGU
This 64-nucleotide transfer RNA is filed under the name Bothridium pithonis. RNAcentral's name for it is "tRNA-Tyr". Lineage: Eukaryota; Metazoa; Platyhelminthes; Cestoda; Diphyllobothriidea; Diphyllobothriidae. The record is from RNAcentral.